Podarcis lilfordi (Lilford's wall lizard) is the source of this 191-nucleotide non-coding RNA. The record is from the annotation of a GenBank genome assembly. NCBI's taxonomy places the organism in Eukaryota, Metazoa, Chordata, Lepidosauria, Squamata, Lacertidae.
UCUGAGACAAAAGAUGCACUACGGACUCAGCCACACCUAAAGGAAAGCUUUGAAAGAAUUGCCAGGUUCACUUUUAAUAAUGAGAUAAAAAAUUGCCCACAUGGAGUCAGCAGAAAAUGAACCAGUGGCAGGCCUGCUGCAAAUAAUUCCAGCAAGGGCCAAGAGACUAGUUGAAAAAUGACUUCAUGAGG